UCCGGGUUCAAAUCCGGUCUCCGCAA
This 26-nucleotide transfer RNA is filed under the name Campanula pyramidalis. Its description in RNAcentral is "partial tRNA-Met". The record is from RNAcentral. Lineage: Eukaryota; Viridiplantae; Streptophyta; Magnoliopsida; Asterales; Campanulaceae.